This 933-nucleotide ribosomal RNA is filed under the name uncultured delta proteobacterium. Its description in RNAcentral is "bacterial SSU rRNA". It matches the Rfam family "Bacterial small subunit ribosomal RNA", at positions 11 to 916 of the family's 1533-position model. Lineage: Bacteria; Deltaproteobacteria. The record is from RNAcentral.
GUUUGAUCCUGGCUCAGAACGAACGCUGGCGGCGUGCCUAACACAUGCAAGUCGAACGUGAUCCAGAGCUUGCUCUGGUGAAAGUGGCGCACGGGUGAGUAACGCGUAGAUAAUCUACCUGAUGAUUUGGAUAACACUUCGAAAGGGGUGCUAAUACCGGAUAAAGCCCACGGAGUCCUUGGACACUGCGGGAAAAAGGGGGGGACCUUUUGGCCUUCCGUCAUCAGAUGAGUCUGCGUACCAUUAGCUAGUUGGUAGGGUAAAGGCCUACCAAGGCGACGAUGGUUAGCUGGUCUGAGAGGAUGAUCAGCCACACUGGAACUGAGACACGGUCCAGACUCCUACGGGAGGCAGCAGUGGGGAAUUUUGCGCAAUGGGGGAAACCCUGACGCAGCAACGCCGCGUGAGUGAUGAAGGCCCCUUGGGUCGUAAAGCUCUGACAGAGGGAAAGAAAUGCAGGGGGGCUAAUACCCUUUUUGCUUGACGGUACCCUCAAAGGAAGCACCGGCUAACUCCGUGCCAGCAGCCGCGGUAAUACGGGGGGUGCAAGCGUUGUUCGGAUUUAUUGGGCGUAAAGCGCGUGUAGGCGGUUUUUUAAGUCUGAUGUGAAAGCCCUGGGCUCAACCUGGGAAGUGCAUUGGAUACUGGAAGACUUGAAUACGGGAAGAGGGCAGUGGGAAUUCCUGGUGUAAGGAGUGAAAUCCGGUAGAUAUCAGGAGGAACACCGGUGGCGAAGGCGGCUGCCUGGACCGAUAUUGACGCUGAGACGCGAAAGCGUGGGUAGCAAACAGGAUUAGAUACCCUGGUAGUCCACGCCGUAAGCGAUGAGUACUAGGUGUUGCGGGUAUUGACCCCUGCAGUGCCGCAGCUAACGCAUUAAGUACUCCGCCUGGGAAGUACGGUCGCAAGACUAAAACUCAAAUGAAUUGACGG